ACGCGUAGACGGUUUUGUAAGUCAGACGUGAAAUCCCCGGGCUCAACCUGGGAACUGCAUUUGAGACUGCAUGGCUAGAGUAUCGAAGAGGGAAGUGGAAUUUCCGGUGUAGCGGUGAAAUGCGUAGAUAUCGGAAGGAACACCAGUGGCGAAAGCGACUUCCUGGUCGAAUACUGACGUUCAUGUGCGAAAGCGUGGGGAGCAAACAGGAUUAGAUACCCUGGUAGUCCACGCCAUAAACGAUGACAACUAGAUGUUGGGAGGGUCUGCCUCUCGGUGUCGCAGCUAACGCGUUAAGUUGUCCGCCUGGGGAGUACGGCCGCAAGGUUGAA
Molecule: ribosomal RNA, 332 nt
Filed under: uncultured bacterium
Lineage: Bacteria
Description: bacterial SSU rRNA
Rfam family: Bacterial small subunit ribosomal RNA
Source: RNAcentral